This 4115-nucleotide long non-coding RNA is filed under the name Podarcis lilfordi (Lilford's wall lizard). Lineage: Eukaryota; Metazoa; Chordata; Lepidosauria; Squamata; Lacertidae. The record is from RNAcentral.
GGAGGAUACGAAAAAGUAAAUAAAGUAGGUAGGGAUCUGGGGGAAAAUGACUUUGGCAAUCCCACCUGCCAUUGAACUCAAUGUUGUUGUUGUUUUGACUAUACACGAUUUUGGCUUUAGAAGCAAUCCCCGAGACGUAACCCCCACAUAAGUUGUGGGCUUACUGUACUGUUCCAAAUGCACUGGAAACCAACCAAUGGGAACACCCUGCUGUACGCCCGGCUGUAUAUAGUGCACGUUCAUAGGCAGAUCCUGCCUCAGAAGGCCCAGACUGGCCGGACUAUUUCCUUGUCCUCUGGCUCUGUCCAUCAUGGUGUGGGAAAGCCCUGUGACUACACACGCCUCUUGUUCUCGUUUUUGCAUUGACAUUUCUGUAAAUUGGGGGGGGGGGGAUAUAAAAGUUCGUUUUGAUUCUUAGCAAAGGAAGCCCUAACCUCACUCCUGCUCCUCUUUGAUGUAUGUAUAGACUGCAAGCGCACCUUCCUCCCCGUUUCCCGAUACGAGUCAAUGCGGUCUCCAAGUCAUGUCAUCUUCCCCUUAUGUUCAUGUACACACAAAACAUUGACGGUGAGGAGGAGGGAGUCGGGGACGCGCCCGCAGAUUUCCCCCCUUAGGAGCCCCCGGGGGUUGCCCCCCCCCCUCGCGGAAGUCUUUAGCCCAGGAGCGCGCGGCGUUACUCUCCGGUGCGAGAGGCACUGUGCACGUCGGAAUUGCUCGCGGGCUCCGGGGUUACGCUCUGAAAAGCUUGUUCUGAAAGCUCGGCCAGUCGCGAGGCGAGGGUGUGUUUGUGUGUGUUGACUCUUAGCAGCCAGGCAACAUGCUUAGGGUCGCUUCGGCGCUGGGGGGCGAUACUGGAGGGGGGCUCUGCUCCGCGUUGGAUCCGCGACUCAGUCUUAAAACUAGGACCGGGGAGGAGAAGGGAACGGCCCGCUUUGCCGCCCCUCCUUCCGGCCGUUUUGUUAACCCCGGAGUGCCCGACCCCAAGGGACGUGGAACCUGAGCGGAGGAGGGGACGAGGGCAGCUCCCCGCCCCGGACUCGGCACUUUCUGUGCUGCUGACUUGGGGCUUUCGGGGAUCCCUGCCGCCGCUCCUCGGCGAAUGCGUCGGAACUGGCUCUGCCCCCGCAAAAGGGCAGCGGGUUCACCCGGGCUGCGUGCGCGCGCCUCGCCCUGCCCUCUCCCCUCCAGGAUGUGAGCAGGGUUCCAGGAAUGAGGUUGAACCCGUUGGGCCGGUCCCCGCCUGGAGGCCCCGGAACCUCAUUCCCUGGCGCUGAGCAGGCCGGACCCGGGAGCCACAACCUCUUCCCAACGGGCUGGCCCGGUGCCAGACCCAGCGGCUCCUUGGCCCGGGCUUCGUUAGGUGGGAAAGGUGGGCAUCUGCAGGCAGGGAACUUUGAAGGGGCUGGUGUGUGCCAUUUCACACACACACACCCUUUCUAAUUGACCAAACAGCUCGUUUGUGCUUCAUGAUAACUUGGCUUGUUAAAGUUUCUGGGGUCUCGCCCGUUUCUUCAGGAAUUCCGCGCUUUACCUUCUUAUUUUGCCAUCACCACGCUCCCACUUUACUGGAGGAGAAACUGAGGCUGAGAAAUCAUGACUCAGGCAAGGCUCCGUCACGCAUUGCGCCGCGCAGCAAACCCCUUGUUUGACGUGGGGCCUAGUUCUCAAGAACAGAUGAGAUGUAAACCUGUUUCCAGAUAGUACUCUUCAGGUUUCAAGAAGGGGCUCACAUGAUGGAAUGCUCACACGCUACUAAGUGUUGAAAGCUAGUGUGUUGGCAAGAUCCCUUCCUUUCUCUGUACAGGGAAUUUGGUGUGUGUAGGUGUAAUUCAGUCAUGUGACAUGGCACCAUCCUGACACCAGUUUACUAUCUCAUCUGCUGUGAGAAGUAGGGAGCCACAGUCAGCUUCACUUCCCUGGCAAUAGUACCCCUAUAAUAUAUGCUUUUGCAUACAAAGCUUCUUGCAAACAUGCCUUGUAUUUUUUAAACAAACAAACAAACACUUAAAGUAUUUUAUUCGUGUUGUUGUUUAGUCGUGUCCAACUCUUUGUGACCCCAUGGACCAGAGCACACCAGGCACUCCUGUCUCCCACUGCCUCCCGCAGUUUGGUCAAACUCAUGCUGGUAGCUUCAAGACUGGAGUACAUUUUAUUUGUACUCCACUCUUAAUCCAUGGCUAGGAUUCCUGCUCCUUCAGGUUCAUCAUGCUAUCUACUAGUGUUGGUGUCCAGUUUAUGACGAACACCAUGAACUUGGGUCUAAGGGGGAACUCGUGAGAUCAGGAGGAGCAGGGCUUUGGUGGUCCAUUGCUAGAGAUGAAAAAAAAUAUAUAAGGGAUACUUGGGUGGUUUGGUCUCUGUAGCCUCUGAAACUGGGUAUUUCAGAAUGAAAGAACUUUAAAAUAAGGGGUAUUCCCUCAAAUCAUAAGACAUCUAGCACCUCUAACCUCUUCUCUCUGCCCCAUUCUCUGGGGGCAAGAGCACUGGGAGAGUCAGUGGAGGAGGGGAGUUGAAGGAUCUUCUGGAGCAACAGCCUCUGUCUCUGACAUCAGACACUUCCUCUCACUCUCAACCACUUCCUGAGCAGCAGCACAUUAUUUUCUGCUGGUCGACUGCAAAGUAGAGACCGGGCAUGGGGGGAGGGAAUACAUGCUUGCAAGCACAUGGCAAGGGAAUGGCGGGUUGGUUUUGCUGCAUAACCUCUCCUGAUUUUCUACCCUGAAAUGUAAAACUUGGAAAUAAGAGUUCACUUGCACUCCAGUGCUCGCAGUCUCAGCCUCCCUCCCCCACAGCAGCAGGAAGUCUGGAAGCUGGAGUUCUCUCUCGGCUCUGCUACCGACUCCCUUGAGUUCCUUGGGAAAGUCCCUGACACUCCCUAGCUCUUUUCCCCAUUAGCUCAAUUAGAAUAACAAUAAAAAAACGCUUGGAACCACCCAUUUGAUCUCUGACACGUUUAGGGCAGGGAGGUUUUAAUGAUUUUAUCAUUAGGAUCCUUAAUGAACAUGGCAGGAUUCUAGGUUUUGAAACGGAGGUGAUGUACUAGGGACAACUGCCAGACCCUAUAGCUCUUGGGUACCCAGGUGUUCAGUGCUUGCCUCCUAGAACUGUCUGGAAGAGGCACAGGAAAACAUUGGCAGAGGCUCUUGAGUCUCAAGGUGGGGCGGGGGAUUGCUGAGGGGAACCCAUUCUUUGUGGUUCAAGGCUGGCUCUGACUCAUACCUGGGCUAGAAGCUACUCUGCAAAGCUGACCCGACUAGAAUACCCCUUCUGGAUUGUCUGAACUGUCAACCUGUCCUCACAUAACCUGUCUGGGCCUGUGGUUUGUCAUGUUCUAACAAGGCUAUGCCAUCCCUUUCAAGUGUCCUACCCUGACUGAAGCACAUCCCCUUUUCUGACUGAGAUUCUCACCAUGUGUUUAUGUUCUUCUCCAUUUCUCUACCAGCAUGUUUAUCAGGCUGCUGGAGACUGUUGUGGUAGCAACCACAGAAACUACCAGCGAAACUCCUUCAGAUAUUGCAGGCUCCCUAUAUUUCUAGGCAGGAUUGUGAUUGUUAGAAAAAUCUAACACGUUCUCUCAAAUACCUGUGUCCCCCUAGUUUUUCCAAAAGCAAUUCCAAUUUUACAGAGUGACUCACCUGUAAAUGUCAUCCCUGCUCUCUAGGGCCUUCUGAUACAGGUUAUCUGAAUCACGACUUUGUGCCUGGGGAAGACAUCUAGAACUGAGGAUCAAUAGAACUGAGUGGGACUGACUUUGUCUAGAAUAUAUUUCCCAGCUGGGUUUGGAUGAACCUCUCCCCUUGGGGUAACACAGUGUGGGAAGGGAUGGAUGAGAGAAGAAAUGGGGAGCCUUUGCCUCUUCCUAUGUUGUUGUGCUAUAACUCCCAGCAUCCCUGUUGUCUUGGGCUAAUGGGAGUUAAGAGUCCAACAACAUCUGGAAGGCCACAGCAUCCCUGAAUUAGAGCCAGCUUCGGUUUACUGGGCCAUGUGAAUCUUAUGAUCCCAGAGAUCAAAACACUGGGAGACAAUUGGUGUGAUUCUUUGGAGAGAGUUGUGAUGUUUAGGAGUAUUUUGCAAACAUUUAGGGUUCAGUUCACUCAUGGGAGGAGGAGAUUGUC